This 460-nucleotide ribosomal RNA is filed under the name uncultured bacterium. RNAcentral's name for it is "partial 16S ribosomal RNA". It matches the Rfam family "Bacterial small subunit ribosomal RNA", at positions 338 to 795 of the family's 1533-position model. The record is from RNAcentral.
CCUACGGGUGGCAGCAGUGAGGAAUAUUGGUCAAUGGACGAGAGUCUGAACCAGCCAAGUAGCGUGAAGGAUGACUGCCCUAUGGGUUGUAAACUUCUUUUAUAAAGGAAUAAAACGAGGCACGUGUGCCUUUUUGCAUGUACUUUAUGAAUAAGGAUCGGCUAACUCCGGGCCAGCAGCCGCGGUAAUACGGAGGAUCCGAGCGUUAUCCGGAUUUAUUGGGUUUAAAGGGAGCGUAGAUGGGUUGUUAAGUCAGUUGUGAAAGUUUGCGGCUCAACCGUAAAAUUGCAAUUGAUACUGGCAGUCUUGAGUACAGUUGAGGUAAGCGGAAUUCGUGGUGUAGCGGUGAAAUGCUUAGAUAUCACGAAGAACCCCGAUUGCGAAGGCAGCUUACUAAACUGUGACUGACAUUGAUGCUCGAAAGUGUGGGUAUCGAACAGGAUUAGAUACCCUGGUAGUC